GAUGUUGGGGUUCUAAAUUAUAAUAAGAUUAGGUUGAAUUGAUUAGACUUUGAUUAGGAUUUGAUUUAAGAUUAAGGUUGGAUUAGGAUUUAUAGUUUGAUUAAGGCUUGAUUAGUAUUUAGGAUUGGAUUAGAAUUAGAAUUUACUUAGAAUUUAUGUUUUAGGAUUUGCUUAGGAUUUGAAUAAGAUUUAGUUAGGAUUUAGAAUUCGAUUAGGAUUUAGGAUUUGAUUUAGGAUUUGCUUAAGGUUUAGGAUUUAGGAUUUGCUUUAGGAUUUGCUUAAGGUUUAGAAUUUAGAAUUUGAUUUAGUAUUUUCUUAGGAUUUAGGAUUUAAAAUUUAAGAUUUAGUUUAAAAUUUGCUUAAGAUUUAGGAUUUAGAAUUUAUUUAGGAUUUAAGAUUUAGAAUUUAUUUAAGGUUUAAGAUUUAAAGAUUGGCUUAAGAUUUGAUUGAAGUCCAUUAGGAUUUCAACUAGGAUUAAAUUAGGACUUGGUUGAGAUUUAUUUAAGAUAUAUUUGUGAUUAUUCUGAUAUUUCUUCAAGGUUUCUUAGAUAUUCUUUUAAAGUUUAUUACAAAUUUUUUUAAUUCUUUUAAGAUUUCUUAUUGUUUCU
Molecule: long non-coding RNA, 608 nt
Filed under: Physcomitrium patens
Lineage: Eukaryota; Viridiplantae; Streptophyta; Bryopsida; Funariales; Funariaceae
Description: long non-coding RNA (PPAT_LNC012323)
Source: RNAcentral